GAUGAACGCUAGCGGCAGGCCUAACACAUGCAAGUCGAGGGAGAAGCCCUUUCGGGGGCAGAAACCGGCGCACGGGUGCGUAACGCGUAUGCAACCUACCUUUCACAGGGGGAUAGCCCGAAGAAAUUUGGAUUAAUACCCCAUAAUAUUAUUGGAUGGCAUCAUUUGAUAAUUAAAACUGCGGUGGUGAAAGAUGGGCAUGCGUCCUAUUAGCUAGUUGGAGUGGUAACGGCACCCCAAGGCUACGAUAGGUAGGGGUCCUGAGAGGGAGAUCCCCCACACUGGUACUGAGACAGGGACCAGACUCCUACGGGAGGCAGCAGUGAGGAAUAUUGGUAAAUGGUCGGAAGACUGAACCAGCCAUGCCGCGUGCAGGAAGAAUGCCUUAUGGGUUGUAAACUGAUUUUAUAUGGGAAGAAUAAGGCGUACGUGUACGUUGAUGACGGUACCAGAUGAAUAAGCAUCGGCUAACUCCGUG
RNAcentral lists this ribosomal RNA (478 nucleotides) under uncultured bacterium. Its description in RNAcentral is "partial 16S ribosomal RNA". It matches the Rfam family "Bacterial small subunit ribosomal RNA", at positions 28 to 507 of the family's 1533-position model. The record is from RNAcentral.